GAAAGCUGUUCAAAUCAUCUUUGAUCAAAGACCUUAUUAAUUAGUAGGAUAGCGUGUGGCAAAAAGCCAUGUGAAUGUUGUUUCCUUUGUCCAAUCUUUGCAUUCACCGAUCAUAAUUAAUUUCUUUGUUUAUUGGGAGCACUGGCAUCGAAUGUAAUAUACUAACAAAUAAAAGCCGUUUGGUGUGAGCACUCGCCAUGUGAAUGUUG
This 209-nucleotide unclassified non-coding RNA is filed under the name Hevea brasiliensis (rubber tree). Lineage: Eukaryota; Viridiplantae; Streptophyta; Magnoliopsida; Malpighiales; Euphorbiaceae. The record is from RNAcentral.